GGAAGACCAAGUGGGAGCCGCCAACGAGGCCAUGGUGCAGGUGGAGUUGAUGGUGGGUGAUGCCAAGGGAGCGUACGACUCCAUCGCGUCUUUGUACAAGAGAAGCUUGGAGCUCCGAGACGAUAUCCGAGUAAGUGUGCUAGUAAGUUUUUACUUCCCUCUUGUAACCCACUGGGUGUCCAAGUGAUAUACUCGGAUACAGUAGGAUUAUUUUGCAAUGGGUUCACUCAUAGUGAACCCAAUGGGUGUAGUCCCCGAGACUGUUGUUGAGUGCUUGCAUCGGCAGUUGUCUUUAUAUGUAUUUCCCGUUAUCUGAGCAGGUCCGAGCGGGUGUGCCCGAAUAUUACCAGUGGGGGCACUCGGAGUGCAUCGACUGGAUGUAGUCCCCGAGAGUAGUGUUACUCGGGUCGGGUUAUAGCAUUCUCGUAGAUUUGCAUGUUCGUCAUGUAGCUCAAUAGGGCCGGCCUGUUCGAGCUUUAUGCCAGUGGGGUCACUCUUAGUGAACCCACUGGGUGUAGUCCCCGAGACCGCUGUCGAGUGCUUGCAUCGGCAAGGGUCUGAAGAACUUUGUUUGUUUUCCUUGUUGAAUGUGUCUGAGCUUUCCUUUGGGCUGAUUUGGCAGAAGACUUGCGAAAUGGGAUCCGCGUACAAUACUCUGAAGGAGGAAAAGGUUCAGCUUGCUGCGGAAUUGGAGGCGGCUGUGAAUGACUUGGCUGGUGUGAAGGGGGCACUUGCUGACCAAGAGAAGUCUUUG
This 754-nucleotide long non-coding RNA is filed under the name Hordeum vulgare. Its description in RNAcentral is "long non-coding RNA (HVUL_LNC005511)". Lineage: Eukaryota; Viridiplantae; Streptophyta; Magnoliopsida; Poales; Poaceae. The record is from RNAcentral.